RNA transcript from Aquila chrysaetos chrysaetos, 3180 nucleotides. It is a transcript of the gene named RAB41, member RAS oncogene family, with no coding region annotated. The record is from RefSeq and is a predicted model, not a curated record. The transcript is spliced from 9 exons. Lineage: Eukaryota; Metazoa; Chordata; Aves; Accipitriformes; Accipitridae.
GCGGAGUGACGCGCCGGUGACGGCGGCGGAAGUGACGCUCGGCGGGGGGGGCGGCGGCGGCGGCGGUCCCGGUGUACGCUCGGCGGUGUCUCCUUCUCCUCAGUCACGGCUCCGGCUCGGCCUCCCCGCGCCGCCAUGUCCGCCCCCGGCAGCGGCGGCGAGUUCGGGAACCCGCUGAGGAAAUUCAAGCUCGUCUUUCUGGGCGAGCAGAGCGUUGGGAAGACCUCUCUGAUCACCAGGUUUAUGUAUGACAGUUUUGACAAUACUUACCAGGCGACCAUUGGAAUUGAUUUCCUGUCAAAAACAAUGUAUCUUGAAGAUCGCACGCAGGUUCGGCUGCAGCUUUGGGACACAGCAGGCCAGGAGCGGUUCCGCAGUCUCAUUCCCAGCUACAUCCGCGACUCCACUAUUGCUGUGGUAGUCUAUGACAUUACAAACUUGAAUUCUUUCCAGCAAACCUCCAAGUGGAUUGAUGACGUUCGGACAGAGAGAGGAAGUGAUGUCAUCAUCAUGUUGGUGGGGAACAAAACUGACCUGGCAGACAAGAGACAGGUUUCUAUAGAGGAGGGUGAGAGAAAAGCCCAAGAACUGAAUAUGAUGUAUUUUGAAACCAGUGCUAAAGCAGGAUAUAAUGUGAAACAGGCAAAUCACUACAGAAGAAGGUGAACAGAGAGCCAAAGAGCUGAAUGUGAUGUUUAUUGAGACCAGUGCAAAGACUGGAUACAAUGUGAAACAGCUUUUCCGUCGUGUGGCUGCUGCCUUACCUGGGAUGGACAGCACACCAGAGAAGAGCAAAGAAGACAUGAUUGACAUCAAACUAGAGAAACCUCCUGAGCAGCCAGUAACGGAGAGCGGGUGCUCCUGCUAACAGGCCCGUUCUGUAGCAGCACAUUCCCCAACCGGCCAGUCUCACUGAAGAACAUCACCGCUCAUUGGCUAGGCAACCCUACUUUGUGGGCUGAAAAACCAAUCUACUAAGCGAGCGAACUCCCUGUUUACUGGUGGGGAGCAGCCCCGGCCGCCCCUCUUACUGCAUGGUAUGAGCCCUGAGUGCAGAAUGAGUGUCCUGUCUUUUAUUUUAUUUUUUUAUGUUGUUGCACUUUGGCACUGUGGUGCCCUUUACACUCUCUCUCUUCCUCUCCUUCUCCCCCUCUUCCCCACCUUGAGCCUGUCUGCUCAGAUGUAUCUUGUGAAUGCAAUGGAAAAGCCACCAAGUUAGGGAAGACAAAAAUAAAGCUUGGGGGUGGGAUUUCCACCUUCCUUACUGCCUUGCAUCUUAACUAGUUCCCUGUCCAUGCCAGCCCAGUCUUUGUCCUGCAUCCCCACUUCCUCUGUCAAAAGGCUGCUCCUUUUAAACCAGUCAGUUUGACUUGGCCUUGCCUUUUUGGACAAUACAGGUUAUCUGUUUCUAGGCUUUUGCUUCCUGCAGGGCACACACAAUACUAGCUCCUCAGUUUCUCCUUUCUGUGGAUGAUCUUGGCUAACUCUUGCUCAUGACUUCUGAGUUUUGCCCCUUGUGUUACACACAGCACUGGAAACCCCCAAACUCUGAUAGCUUUGGCCUUGUUGCUCCUGUUUGUGUAGCAGAGACACCCUGCAGACUGCUCUCCUCAGUUGGAGCGUCUUCCCAUCCAGAGGACAUUGGUGCUUGGUGAGUGUUGGCUGUCAGAUGUGGGGAAGGAAGAGGGUACAGAGGCUUUGCAGCACAAAGCUGGGUGGGGAGAGAUCCUCGGGGUGGUUUGUAGAGACCUGGGUCCUGUCUGUCAACAGCGAAAGCGAACAGUUACCUGAAGUCCAUCACUACAGGGGCAAUACCUGCCCUAGAAGUCAUGGAUGCUGUUCAGGCUCCUUUCUAGUCUCUGUUCUCCUGUUCAUCGUCACGUAGGCUGGGAGCUUCUUCACGCAGAGCAGGAGAGCUACAGCAGAUGGAAGGCCAGCGAUAGCUGUUGUGCUCUCGUACCUAGGUUGCUGCUUGAUGAAAUCAUACGUAGCUGCUUCUGCCUUCGUAGUAGACUUCCAGGGGAUGGGGCUAGUAGCCAUUUCACUUUUGGAAUAGUGUUAAGCUCUAAUAUUGCCAAAACUGAGAUGAGCAGUGGCAGGGAUUUAUUGUCAGACCUGGGUAGAAGAAUGGAGGAAUGUAUGCUGCUGAAGUGAAUUUUGGUGUCACUUCUCCACCUUGGAGUUUGGGAAGUACAUCCUCUUCUCCCUGCCCCUGGUUUCUAACUACGUUAAUAGAGCUUUUCAGAGACUUUUACUGGGGGUUUUCCAUCCAUCCGUCCUAAUCAGAAGUCUGUAGGUUUGUUGACAGUGAGGGGAAUAAAACAGUCGGAUGGCUCUAAGCCAUUCACUGUUCUUUUCAUCACCCAGCCUAUGUCAUGCUGAUGGGGGGGGGAGGGAUGCCAGCAGGCAGGAGAGUGACUGACCACAGUGUGACGGGUGGGAGCAGUGUGACGGGUGGGAACGAGCGCGUUUGGUGGUUAGUGACACUCCCCUGGCAGGAUGCCUGUCGGGUCCCUGACACAGCGUGCGCACUUUGAAGCCUGCGGGCCGUCGAGGGGAGGGGAAGGGGCAGCCUCGGACCGUGAGCUGCUGGUCCCCACCUUGGCUUACUGGCGGCAAGUCACCUCGCUGCCGGUGGCUGAUGUUUUUUUCCCCAGAGCCCUGUCCCUUCCCCUCUGGGUGAGCUGGCCUGCAGGAGGAAGCAGGGAUGCGGUUUCCCAUUUCACUCCGGAGUGUCCCCCCCUCACCUUACCCACAGUCCCAGCUGGCAGAGCCGGGUCCCAACGCCUGGUGAGAUGCUCAGCCCCCUCCUCUGUACAUACCCCUGUUGUGUGGGAAUUGCUGAUGUUUGUCGGUGUGUCCGUGUCUGCUGUAGAACAGGUUUUGCUGUCCCCUUCUCACAGGCAGGUGUGCGCUGCUCUGCUGUCGUGUUGUUCUGAGUCACGGACCUGGGGGGAGGGAGGGGGGAGACCCUAAGUAAUGGGGGGGGGGGGGGGGGGGUAACUAGUGAAAUAAAAUAGUUCACUUCCCACUGUCUUCUCUAUGGAUGUGUAUAAUAUUGAGUGUGUGUCUGGCCCUGCUGUCUCCUAGCUGUUAGCCGAGUAAGUGUGACUAUUAAUAUGAGUAUGGACUGUCUGACCACGGCCGUGUAUCACACUAAAUAAAGUUAUUUCACCAACA